UGUUAGGGUCUAAUCUAGA
RNAcentral lists this non-coding RNA (19 nucleotides) under Arabidopsis thaliana (thale cress). The record is from RNAcentral. Lineage: Eukaryota; Viridiplantae; Streptophyta; Magnoliopsida; Brassicales; Brassicaceae.